GGGGCAGCAAUGAAGCAAGCUGUUUGUUUGAUGGCUGUUGAGUCUCUGGGGUGGGCUAGCUGUGUUCAUCACAGCUAACUGGAGUUGGGGAGGCUGAGUGGCCCUGCUCGGUAAUCUGGGACACAGGACUCAGAGGGAACAGAGAUGGCUCCCCUGCACCGGGAGCCCUGAGAUGGGCCCUGGGCUAGAAUUGGAUAGCAGGAGUGGCCGGGAUGACCCUGUCUCCCACCUGCACCUCCUUCUCCACAGCAAGCACGUACCCAGUUCCAUACAGGACAAGCCUUGGCCUGACUCAAGCUGCACGGUGCCACUCAGUCUAGCCAGGUGCUCAGAACACAUUUAUUUUUAUGUUUUUAAUGUUUUUUUGAGACAGGGUCUUGCUCUUCAGCCCAGGGAGGAAAUAGACAUGGGACAAACGAUUGCACGCAUCCUUGGAACCCUUGCUAGAAGUCAGGGAGGAUGGGGAAGGGUUGAGAGGAGAUCUGGAGAGGCUUCCAGAGUCAGGCCCGGGGCUGCCGCAGCCUGGUCCCACCCAGACCUGGUUCCCAGCUGCACAGUGAGUGGGGCGUCCUGAAUCCACCAGGCAGGUGGAGGGAACUGAAAGGAGGAAAGAGAGGAGGAAAAGGCUUCUCAUGAAGCCUGAGCUGCAGCCGAACAGCAGGGGCCGGAGGAGAGCUGCUGUCCUGACUGUGGCAGGCUGUGGGCGAUCCAGCUGAGUGCGAGAGGUGACCCUGCGGAGCGGAGUUAAACGACUCAGCACAGACCGAACCAUCAGUGUUGUAGGGCUCGGCCCCAGGAGGAAGAUGACUGCAACCUGGAGGUUGCAGUUUUGCUUUGUGUGGGGUUGGCCAUGGAGCAGUGGCCUUCGUGCAGACACACUGCAUUCCUGAAGGAAUGGCUGCUUCCCGGAGAUGCAGGCCCUGGGCCGGGGAGGGCUGUCCCAUGAGACAGGCAGGCCCCUGAUGCCCUCUAAGAUUAGGCAGGGAGCACAGGGCCUCCCCACAGGCUGGGGACACCAGCCGGCUCCUUUCCGCAGCCCAGCCUCCGCUUAGCUUGCUGUUGAAGGCGGGAGUCACUGCUGCAGGCUGCCGGCAUCCACACUGUGGCAGCCCUCAGAACCCUACAGAAGACCCCAGCAGCCUGCAUGCAACAUGGCACAGAUCUCAGGGAGUCUCCAGAGGGACCUACACAACCCAGCUGGGCCACUUUGGGGGACAGCGGGCUCCCUGAAGGAACUCUGGGCAGGGCACCCAAGCCUGUGUCCCCUUCGGGAUCCUGGACUCUGAUUGCACCCCACCCCCCACCCCACCCCCAGGGACAUGCGGGUCUUUGGACAUCUGCACACGACCACCCCAUGGGUACUUCACAGGAGGGAAGGUGAGGAGAGUGGACAGGCAUUCAAGGAUGCUGCCCGUGACCUUGACAACCCCUGCAAGCCCUGCCUGUCUCAGUUUCAGUGCUCUGUCAGAUGAAGAGGACGGGCUUCUCUGGUUCUCCCGGGCCAGCACAGAGCUACCCCAAUACCCCACUUAGCGAGAGUCUUGAAGCUGUUUCUGAGGUCAGUGGUUUUUGGCUGGGCACAAGGAGGCUGACCAGGUCUGGGACCCAAGGCAGGGCCACCCAGGACGGGCAUUCUCCAGGGCUAAACCCAGCAGUGCCAGGCAAGCAGGAAGAUGGGGGCCCGAAUACAGGGCAGGAUGAUCCCUUUCCCUCUUCUGCAUUUCCAGAGGUAGAAAGCUGUGUCUGGUUUUCUCAGGUUGAUCCACCACUGCCAAUCCUACUGGGUAAGAUGACAAGAAAGGAACAGCUUCACCCAUGAUCGAGUUAACAGCAGGAACAUCUUUGCCAGAAGAAGACAGCGUAUAGGUGUGGUUAGAGCCAAGUAGAAAGACAUCUGCGGGCACCUAAGUUCGCUCCGUCCAUAGGACCACAGAGGGAGGCAGGCCUCGGGGACGUGGGAGGCCAGGUAGAGGUCUUCCAGGCCAUACCCUAAAGGGGCAGAGGCUGGCACAGUCAGCGCUGUGUUACAAGAAUGAAAGACUGAGACAGGCUGCUUGUGAAAUAAGGAGCUUUAUGUGGCUCAGAGCUUGGAGGCUCAAGUGGCCCCAUGCAUUCGCCACUAGAGAAGACUGCUGGUGGCAAUGUGUCACCAAGGCAGUCACAUCUCAAGCCAGGAAGCAGGCUUUGGAUGGAAAGGGCAGAGGGUAUGGCUGCCUCUAGGGAAAGAAGAGAACUCAAGGAAGGGGAUCCCAAAAGGGGCUCAGCCUGUGCCUGGGAGCAGAGGGCAGAAGAGGCAGGGAGAAGGGCAGCAGCUAAGAGCCACCAGCUGGGGCCACUCUGGGUUUCCAAGCCUCAGGUUCUCACUGCUCAAACUUACAGACAGCGCCUAAGAGCUUUGGUUCAGGCAGGCUGUCACUAGGAAUAAAUAUUCCCAUAAUAGAAAUUAAAACAUUUAAAAACACACUUGUUCAUUUUUAACAGUAAGUCCCAAACCUAUGCAUAUUAGCAUACUUUAAAGGAGUAAAAAAAAACCCUAUAUUUUCUAAGACUAAAAAAAGAAUAGUGAGAAGAGGG
Long non-coding RNA from Fukomys damarensis (Damara mole-rat), 2574 nucleotides. The record is from Ensembl. Lineage: Eukaryota; Metazoa; Chordata; Mammalia; Rodentia; Bathyergidae.